This 1358-nucleotide ribosomal RNA is filed under the name uncultured bacterium. RNAcentral's name for it is "partial 16S ribosomal RNA". It matches the Rfam family "Bacterial small subunit ribosomal RNA", at positions 28 to 1381 of the family's 1533-position model. The record is from RNAcentral.
GACGAACGCUGGCGCGCGUGCUUACGCAUGCCAGUCAAACGGAAAGGCCCCUGCUUUUGUGGGGUGCAUCGAGUGGACGAACGGUCUGAGUAACACGUCGAGUAACCUGCGCCUUGACUUUGGGAUAACUUCACGAAACUGGGGCUAAUACCGGAUAGGACCUCCUGCUGCAUGGUGGCGGGUUGGAAAGUUUCGGCGGAUGGGGAUCGGACUCUCGGCUUAUCAUCUUGUUGGUGGGGUAGUGGCUUACCCAGGCUUUGACAGGUAGCCGGCCUGAAAGGGUGACCGGCCACAUUGGGACUGAGAUACCGUCCAGACUCCUACGGUAAGCACCACCGUGGAAUAUUGGACACUGUGCGGAAGCCUGAUGCAACCUCUCCCCGUGCAGGAUGACGACCAUCGGGUUGUAAACCGCUGUCCCCUGUGACGAAUCGAGAGUGACCGCAAGGUCCAAAGAAUGAGCGGCUAACUACCUGCCACCAUCCGCGGCGAUACUGAGGGCGCAAUCGCUGUCCGGAUUGAUUGAUCGUAUAGGUCUCGUACGUGGGUGAUCACAUCGCAUAAGUAAUCUUGCUGCUCAACCCUGAGCGGCUCUUCGAUACGGGUCGCUCGAGGAAGGUAGCGGAGAAUGGAAUUCCUGUUGACGCGGUGGAAUGCGCAGAUAUCAGGAGGAUCUCCAGUGGCGACGGCGAUUCUCUGGGCCUUUCUUGACGCUGAGGAGCGACAGCGUGGAGAGCGAACAGGCUUAGAUACCCUGGUAGUUCACCCCUGAAACGGAGGGUACUAGGUGUGGGGUCCAUUCCCCCCCUUACUGCUGCAGCUAACACAUUAAGUACUCCCCCUGGGGAGUACGGCCGCAAGGCUAAAACUCAAAGGAAUGGACGGGGACCCCCACAAGCGGCGGAGCAUGCGGAUUAUUUUGAUGCAACGCGAAGAACCUCACCCCAUCGUGACACACGGAUCGCGAGUGCUCAGAGAAAGAGUUUUCCCCUUUUCGGGUCGGUUCACAGGUGGUGCAUGGGUGUCGUCAGCUUGUGUCGUGAGAUGUUGGGUUAAAUCCCCCAACCAGCGCAACCCUUAAGCUUAUGUCGUCCAGCACGUUAUGGUGGGGAUUCAGUGGAGACCGCCGGGGUCAACUCGGAGGAAGGUGGGGAUGACGUCAAGUCAUCAUGCCCCUUAUGUCCAGGGCGUCACGCAUGAUACAACGGUAUGGUACAGAGAGUGGCGAGCCUGUGAGGGUGAGCGAAUCUCGGAAAUCCGGUCUCAGUUCGGAUUGGGGUCUGCAACUUGACCUCAGCAAGUUGGAGUCGUUAGUAAUCGCAGAUCAGCAACGGUGCGGUGAAUACGUUCCCGGGCCU